UUUUUUUUUUUUUUUUUUUUAUAAAAUGUAGAGACAGUGCAGUAACAUCCGAAAGUACAUAACUCAUGUACAAUUAAAGGCAUCCGUGUUAUGGUUGAAUUUGGCGCAAUGGACGAGAUUCGUGGUCUAGCUAGUGGACAUCAGUUAUGAUGAGUGGUGAAACAUGUGGGGUAAUCAGGAUGCAGAGCGUGAGUCCAUUGCUGCCUCAGCGCCAGGAGAGUGUAGAGGGUCGCUCACCAAACCUGAGGCCGAGGCACGGGGAGCUGAUACCCACACCAUUUGGACCAAUAAAGCGGUUGUCAGAGCUCCAGUGCUUCGUUAAGGCUUACUUCUGCCUCACAAUCAUCUCCCUGGUGGUGCUCUUCAUUCUCACUAUAGUCAACAUCACGGAAGAGAGCAGGAAAGCGGACGACGAUGAUG
Long non-coding RNA from Ictalurus punctatus (channel catfish), 420 nucleotides. The record is from Ensembl. Lineage: Eukaryota; Metazoa; Chordata; Actinopteri; Siluriformes; Ictaluridae.